UUAGCUACGAUACUCAGGAUGAAAAUCCCCAACAACUAUACAGCAUCGUUUAGGGCGUGGACUACCAGGGGAUCUAAUCCUGUUUGCUCCCCACGGUUUCUUGCAUGAGAGUCAGUGUUAUGCCAGGGGACAGCCUUCUCCAUUGGGAUGCCUCCCCAUAUCUACACAUUUCACUGCUACACGCGGAAUUCUACCCCCCUCUGAAACACUCUAGAUAUACAGUCACACGAGCCAUUACCAGGUUAAGACCGGGGAUUUCACGCCUGUCAUGUAUAACCGCCUGCGCACACUUUACACCCAGAAAUUCCGAUUAAAGCUUGCGCCCUACGUAUUACCGCGGCUGCGGGGACGUAGAUAGCCGGUGCUUAUUCUUAAGGUACCGCCAUUCCCCGACUGUGUUAAAAAAAGAGUUUCAUCCCCGACAAAACAUCUUUACAAACCGAAGGUCUUCUUCACUCACUCGGGAUUGUUGGAUAAAGGUUUCCCCCAUUGUCCAAAAUUCCCCACUGGUGCCUCCCGUA
This 521-nucleotide ribosomal RNA is filed under the name uncultured Polynucleobacter sp. RNAcentral's name for it is "partial 16S ribosomal RNA". Lineage: Bacteria; Pseudomonadati; Pseudomonadota; Betaproteobacteria; Burkholderiales; Burkholderiaceae. The record is from RNAcentral.